GAGAGCCGGAUACUCCGAAAGGUGUACGUCCGGUUCGGAGGGGGGUUCACAAAAACCUGCCAUGAAAACGUGGUAAGGCGUUGGGUUCCUACCCUAC
RNAcentral lists this non-coding RNA (97 nucleotides) under Melghirimyces algeriensis. Lineage: Bacteria; Bacillati; Bacillota; Bacilli; Caryophanales; Thermoactinomycetaceae. The record is from RNAcentral.